Telopea speciosissima is the source of this 92-nucleotide long non-coding RNA. RefSeq lists it as uncharacterized. The transcript has 3 exons. Lineage: Eukaryota; Viridiplantae; Streptophyta; Magnoliopsida; Proteales; Proteaceae. The record is from RefSeq and is a predicted model, not a curated record.
CCUUGGUUGCAGCUCUAAUGGCUACUCCUCCACCCAUGAUGGAAUCGUCGUUCCUCCUGAAAUCCUAGAGAAGCUAAUAGGUAAGAAAACCU